Molecule: non-coding RNA, 258 nt
Organism: Pelobates cultripes (western spadefoot toad)
Lineage: Eukaryota; Metazoa; Chordata; Amphibia; Anura; Pelobatidae
Source: the annotation of a GenBank genome assembly
AUAGCCCCGAUCUGGGUGAACAACAUAUCCAAAAAUCACCGAGAUCGGUACAGGGGUUCAGGAAUAUCCUGGAAGUCAUAGUUUUGACCAACAUGCAUGGCCCCAUGCCCAAAACAGUUCAAUGAAAUCAGUGCUAGCAGUCAGUCUGUCAAGUUCCGUAGUCUUUUACAGGUUUCCCUGCAGGACCCAUAGUCUGUGGGCAGGAGGCUGGCAAGCAGGUUCCUCCAGGAGCUCAUGGCAAACUCACUUGGAGAGGGG